Molecule: long non-coding RNA, 670 nt
Organism: Alosa alosa (allis shad)
Lineage: Eukaryota; Metazoa; Chordata; Actinopteri; Clupeiformes; Clupeidae
Exons: 3
Source: RefSeq, a predicted model, not a curated record
CAAACCACUGCCAAUGCUAGGGCUACCAGCGCCGUGAGUACGCCUACAAUGAAGGACAUCAGACAGCAAACUUUAUGCCCAAGUUAAACAUUGCGAGCUAACUACUCAAAGCCCCAAAUUCCUGAUGUGCCGCAGCAACCUGGAUAUGUGGUCGUGGCACAUCUGUUGUGUUUGGGCACAUACCAACCAACAGAACAACUGGAUACACAUACUGUAGGCACACAGCUAUCCUUAAAGACUCUGCGGCCCCACUUUAGAAGUGAAGGUGUCCAGGCAACUGUCUCCUGCAAAGAUUUCAGUGUUGGGACGUCCAAUGCAGACCCUUUGUGCCUGUCAUCGACACCUAUAGAAAGACCAUCCAAAAGACCUCGUAUAGACCUCGAUGAACAGCUUUAAACCCUACGUAGUGGCCUUCCUCAUCAGGAAACUUUGAGCAGAUGCGCAGGAUCACCCAAGCUAGAAUAACGGCCCGGAUUCUGCGUCCCAGGAUCCCCCAGCACCAGCUCACAAAUGAAGAAUAGAGAUACCUGUAGCAACCGAACAAUUGAUUCUGAUAUUUAGGCGACUAUUUAUUAUUGAUUUGUGUUAUUGUUACAGUAUGUAAACAAAUAUUCAUAUGCUCCUAUGGAUCAUCUUCAAUGCUUGUUUUGUAUUUCCUCUGUAAAUAAAU